Molecule: ribosomal RNA, 461 nt
Filed under: uncultured bacterium
Lineage: Bacteria
Description: partial 16S ribosomal RNA
Rfam family: Bacterial small subunit ribosomal RNA
Source: RNAcentral
CCUACGGGUGGCUGCAGUGAGGAAUAUUGGUCAAUGGGCGGGAGCCUGAACCAGCCAAGUCGCGUGAGGGAAGACGGUCCUAUGGAUUGUAAACCUCUUUAGGCGGGGAGCAAUGCCGGGCACGCGUGCCCGGAGGGAGAGUACCCGCAGAAUAAGCAUCGGCUAACUCCGUGCCAGCAGCCGCGGUAAUACGGAGGAUGCGAGCGUUAUCCGGAUUUAUUGGGUUUAAAGGGAGCGUAGGCCGCAUGUCAAGCGUGCUGUGAAAUGUCCGGGCUCAACCCGGGCCUUGCAGCGCGAACUGGCGUGCUUGAGUCCGCGGAAAGCAGGCGGAAUUCGUCGUGUAGCGGUGAAAUGCUUAGAUAUGACGAAGAACCCCGAUUGCGAAGGCAGCUUGCUGCAGCGGAACUGACGCUGAUGCUCGAAAGCGCGGGUAUCGAACAGGAUUAGAUACCCUGGUAGUC